This is a non-coding RNA of Mycena vitilis, 108 nucleotides long. The record is from the annotation of a GenBank genome assembly. NCBI's taxonomy places the organism in Eukaryota, Fungi, Basidiomycota, Agaricomycetes, Agaricales, Mycenaceae.
UCCGAAUUGGUGUAGGGGUUAACAUUGCCGCCUCUCAGAAUUACGUAAAUACCUGUGCAGGCGUAAGCUGAUGCGCGGCAGCCCGGGGUUCGAUUCCCCGAUUCGGAA